Molecule: ribosomal RNA, 330 nt
Filed under: uncultured Lachnospiraceae bacterium
Lineage: Bacteria; Bacillati; Bacillota; Clostridia; Lachnospirales; Lachnospiraceae
Description: partial 16S ribosomal RNA
Source: RNAcentral
GGAGUCUGGGCCGUGUCUCAGUCCCAAUGUGGCCGUUCAUCCUCUCAGAUCGGCUACUGAUCGUCGCCUUGGUGGGCCGUUACCUCACCAACUAGCUAAUCAGACGCGGGUCCAUCUUAUACCACCGGAGUUUUUCACACUGUACCAUGCGGUACUGUGCGCUUAUGCGGUAUUAGCAGCCGUUUCCAACUGUUAUCCCCCUGUAUAAGGCAGGUUACCCACGCGUUACUCACCCGUCCGCCACUCAGUCACUAUCUCGUCACCCCGAAGGGAUCGUAAGAAAGUGCUUCGUUCGACUUGCAUGUGUUAAGCACGCCGCCAGCGUUCAUC